Molecule: RNA transcript, 8917 nt
Organism: Chiroxiphia lanceolata (lance-tailed manakin)
Lineage: Eukaryota; Metazoa; Chordata; Aves; Passeriformes; Pipridae
Gene: SPATA13
Gene name: spermatogenesis associated 13
Exons: 16
Source: RefSeq, a predicted model, not a curated record
AUUUAAGGUGCUCAGCAGGACUGAGCCCAGAAUCCAAGCAACAACAGACUCUUUCAAAAACCAGACAGGUUUACUGGAAAAAGGCAGUGCCACCUGAGGAGCUCAGCUCACCCAGUCGAUGUGAAAGCGAGACAAACCGAGGUGCAGCAGAUGAAGGGGAGGCAGCAAGAUCAGCUGGUGGAGACAGCAGUGUCACUUUGAGCUACCCCAGCCUCAGACUCCGUGCGUACAGCAUCGAGAGCAUGACAACAUUUCCAAAUGGCUGUGGAAAUGGCACCACUGUUACUUGUAUAGUUAUGGAUAAUAAAGAGCCCCAAAACCAGACUGCCUGUGUCAGUAACAAUGGGGGACACAGCACCAGCAACAGUCAUGAGGAAGAAUUUCAAGAGGAUAAACUCAGCCCUUCCAAAAUCAUGCGCUUUUUCACCACCCCUCGGAAACGGGCUAAUUCCAGCUCUGACAGGCCUCGUUCUCUGGUUUUGAUGGGCAGCUCGUCCACAUGGAAUGCCUUCUCUUCCAUCAGAAAAAUGGGUUCUUUCAAGAAGUUGAAAUCUUCGGUUCUCCAAGAAGUUAAGACAAGGGAAUGUUCAGACAUCUUAAAUGAGAAUGGCGUAGGCAAACAUGGCUUAAAUGGGGCAGUGGUACGAAUUCAGACUAACAGGUAUUCCUAUUCGGGGCCUCUACAUGAUUUCCAGAAUGCAGUGGAUGGUUUAGCUUCUGACUGCUCUGAUGCAGAGGAAAGUGAUGAGUCUUUCCUGAGGAACACUCAUCGUUCACGCAGCAUCAGGCGGGCUUAUGGUGCUGGCCGCAUAAACUUGCUAGACACAGAUAAAGUCCAGAAUCAUCAAAACUAUGUUAGGCCAACAUCACCUGUCAUUGCAGAGCCAAAGAUCUGUGAAAUUUUGGUGAAGGACUCUGCAGACAACAGGAUGAUUUAUCGGAGAAGCAAAAGUUCUGAUAAUUUGAACUUUCUGAAAAAAAGCUCAUUCAAACGGAAGUCCACCUCAAACCUUGCUGAUCUGAAGGUUGCAAAUGAGAAACAGAUGCCAACAAGGACUGUGAGUGCUGCUUCUGCUGACUCAGACAAAAGUGGUGGAAACCCUGAGAGGAGAUCCAAGCGAUGGAAGAGCCCUAUCAGGGCAAAGGAUUUUGACCGAGUUUUGAAACUUGUCAGUAAUGUUACGGAUGUUGCAUGGAAGAAGGAUGCCCCUAAGAGCACAGCUCCUUCUCCCAUUGAGCAGUCCCAGAGAAUAAGGUCAAACAGCAGACUGCACGAUGACUACUCCCGCAGGGUUUCCAGCAGCACGGAUCAUGACAAAAAGAGAUGCACCUCCCCAGUAUCCAGUCCAGACUCUUCCUUGCAGGGAACACCUUGUCUGCAAAGCCCUGUGGUUGCUCAGGAUAAAGAGGCCGAAAUGAAUGUAGCUGUUGUGGAAGACAAAAGUCUCAGGACGUCAUCGGGUAUCCUAGACUCUGAUAGUUUAUCACCGACACUGAAUGACAUUAGUCCAUUUCCCAAUGAAGUCUUUUAUUCGGACUCAGAUGAACCAAAAGCUACCCAGCAGUUUACAGACGAAGCUGAAAACCCUAACGUUCCAGUCAGGCCAAUUACUCCAAAGCCUCAAAGUCCUACUGCAGGGAAGGUCAAGUGCAGUAUGAAUUUCCAGUGUCAAAACCAUCACAGCACAUUGUCACUGAGCUCAUCAGAGAGUGAGGAAAGAGUUGAGGUACCAGGGCUGAAGUUGGGAAGGAAUCCUGUUUGCUUCCAGGACUCAGUGCAAACUGUGUACUACGAUGACGGAAAUGAAGACAGUGGCAUAAGCAGCCACUCUCAACUGAGCCUCAAUUUAGCCUCUGGUGCCGAAGACAAAAAGGAAGAGGUUGUUUCUGAUGACCACUGGAAGAGAUCCACAUCUCAGGAUGAAGAAAAGGCAGACUCACAAAAGGUCACACCCAGGAGAUGGGGCUCUGGAAAAAGAUCUCGGCCCAGACCUCUCUCAGACUAUGGCCAAAUGUCAAUCAGAAGUUUCUCUAUACCAGAAGAUGCAGUUGUGGUGGAAUCUCAGAAGACAGACUGCAUGGAUGGAGAAAGUCAGCCAGGACUGUCAUCCGUUGGGUCUGUGGUCCAAAGCAACACAGUAGGCUACCACAGAGGGCGAAAAAGAAGACCUAUCUCCAUAAUAGGUGGGGUCAAUUUCUAUGGAAACGGUCCAGUAGGAGAGAGAGAAGGUCUGCUGACACAACCUGUAACACGGCCACCUGUUCCAGCACACCAGGUGCCCCCAUACAAAGCUGUUUCAGCCAGGUUCCGGCCACUCACCUUUUCUCAAAGUACUCCCAUUGGCCUGGACCGGGUUGGACGGAGGCGGCAGAUGAGAACAUCUGAUGUUGCUGCAGAUGGUGGGACUGAAUCUUCAGCCUUAGUGGAUGACAAUGGCAGUGAGGAAGAUUACAGCUACGAGGAGCUCUGCCAAGCUGCUCCCAGGUACCUGCAGCCCGGAGGCGAACAGCUAGCAAUUAAUGAGCUGAUAAGCGAUGGCACUGUUGUCUAUGCAGAGGCUCUCUGGGACCAUGUCACUAUGGAUGAUCAAGAGCUGGGCUUCAAAGCUGGAGAUGUCAUUAGAGUUCUAGAAGCUUCCAACAAAGAUUGGUGGUGGGGAAGAAAUGAGGACAAGGAAGCCUGGUUUCCAGCCAGCUUUGUCAGGCUGCGAGUUAAUCAGGAAGAAGUGCCAGAAAAUUGUAAUAGUAUCCAGGAUGAAGAACAAGAUGCAGAUAUUAGCAAGCAUCGCCAGAAAAUAGCUGAAAACAAGGAUCAGAUGAGAACCAAUGUUAUACAGGAAAUUAUGAACACAGAACAAGUCUAUAUCAAGCAUCUCAAGGACAUCUGUGAGGGUUAUAUUCGGCAGUGUCGUAAACAUACAGGAAUGUUCACCACAGCUCAGUUAAGCACCAUUUUUGGAAAUAUUGAAGAUAUUUACAAGUUCCAAAGGAAGUUUCUGAAGGAUCUUGAGAAACAGUACAACAAAGAAGAACCUCAUCUAAGUGAAAUAGGAUCAUGUUUUCUUCAACAUCAAGAAGGCUUUGCUAUUUAUUCAGAGUAUUGUAACAAUCAUCCCAGUGCCUGCAUUGAACUUUCCAAACUAAUGAAACAGGGCAAAUACCGCCACUUCUUCGAGGCCUGUCGCUUGCUUCAGCAGAUGAUUGACAUUGCCAUUGAUGGUUUUCUUCUCACGCCUGUUCAGAAAAUCUGCAAAUACCCUCUGCAGCUUGCAGAAUUGCUCAAAUACACCACUCAGCAACACAGUGAUUAUAACAACAUAAAAGCUGCAUAUGAGGCUAUGAAGAACGUUGCAUGUCUGAUCAAUGAGCGAAAACGGAGACUAGAAAGCAUCGACAAGAUUGCACGUUGGCAAGUCUCUAUCGUAGACUGGGAGGGACCAGAUGUGUUAGCCAGAAGCUCAGAACUGAUUCACUCAGGAGAACUGACCAAAAUAUCAAAACAAGGCAAAAGCCAGCAGAGGACUUUCUUCCUUUUUGACCAUCAGCUUGUGUUCUGUAAGAAGGACUUGCUGAGAAGGGACAUCUUGUAUUAUAAAGAUCGUAUUGACAUGGAUGAAAUGGAAAUUGUGGACAUCGAAGAUGGCAAAGACAGAGACUUUAACAUUAAUGUCAAGAAUGCUUUUAAGAUAAUAAACAGAACAACAGAAGAGAUUCAUUUGUUCUGUGCAAAAAAACAAGAGGAUAAAAAGAGAUGGAUUGAGGCAUGCGAAAGUGAGAGGAGAAGAGUUCAAGAAGACAAGGAAAUGGGUAUGGAAAUCUCAGAAAGCCAGAAGAAACAAGCCAUGCAGAAUGCCCGUAAGUCAAGGCAAGGAAAAAUUAAAGGUGUAAGCUAUAAUGGGUGUCCUGUGCCUCCUCCACACCAAACCCUGCAUCCCAUUCACCAGCGACACAUCACUGUACCUACCAGCAUCCCGCAGCAGCAGGUCUUUGCCCUGGCAGAACCCAAGCGGAAGCCAUCCCUCUUCUGGCAUACCUUCAACAAACUCACUCCCUUUAAAAAGUGAGAAGCCAAGGACCUGGAAGGACUUCAGCAUAGCAGGAGACUUACUCUAGAGGAGGACCCUGGAGACACAGUUAAUCUUACUCGAGCUCGGCGAAUCUCCUGUUUUGGAGGCAAAACGUUGGCUUCUCUUGAGCCAGAAAUGCAGCCUUUGUCUAGAAUACAAAUGAAGUUUCUCAAGACUGCUCUGAAGUCCAUGUUGCCAAGUGUCAGCAUUACUGAUGAAGAGCAGUCUCUCUUCUGACUAAGACAGCUUGCUGUUACUCAGAAGCAGCAGUAUUCAGUCUCCAUUUCUUAGUUAUGUUGAAGUAGUGAUGGAGUUAUGCAGGUCAUUGUAACAUUUCAUUUUUUUUAACCCUAUAUUGAUGGCCAAAUUUAGGAUAGGAAGGUGUUUUUCCUUAGGGAUGUAUCAGCAAGGAAUCUUAGGAGAUUUUUCUUCUUUCUCCAGGAUCACCGAGCAGAGACCACCCAUUAAAAUCAGAUAGAGACAUCCCAUGUGUUUAAUGAGCUACUGCAGCAUUUAGUGGACCCUAAUCCUUCCUGUCUUUUUUAUUAUAUUGCCAAAUGGCAGGAGAACAUCCCGCAAGGCCUUACCAUAUUCCAGAUUGGAACAGGGAAAUUUUAUUCUGUCAUCUAGAAACACGAACAGUGUGUGAAAUGAACUGUAAAGAUACGUGCAUUUGUUGCACACAAGUGGAAACAAGAGGAGCCCAGGGCAUCUCAGAUUGAUUGAUUUCAAUCAGAGCAAUAUACUGCAUGUAUGUAUGCUCUUCAGUGUAGAGCUUUUAUAUCCCUUUUUGCGCAUUUCUUUGCCUGGGAGAGACUUCUUUAUAUUUCCAAUGUGUUUAUUUCUCUGUGUAAAAAAUAGUUUUUUAUUUUCUAACAGAGAUAAUGUGAAUGUACAAAGUCAGCAUUGAGACAGUACAUGGUGACUGCUGGCUAUGUUACAGUCUAGGUCUAACGCUUUUUUCAUGUAUUUUGACUUAGAAAAUGGAUUAAUAGUAAUGUAAAUAUAUUAAAGUGGUCUGGAUCCAAGCUUCUUAUACACGUUCGAUUGACAAUGGGUUUUGAGCAAUUACUUCUUCACAAAGAAAGUGAAAUCUUUACUGGAAGGGACAGAGAAAUUGUGUGGACUGGCGAUGGAUUUUUGUCUCAGAGUCAUCACUCUCUAUUGGAAGGGGAAGAACCUGACUUGAUUAGGGUCAGCUCUGGCCAACAUAUGCAAUCCGUGAUUUGCAUUGCUGCAAUUUGCCUGUGACAUGAAGUUGAUUUGUGAGAACAACUUUUAAAAAGCCACCAGGAAGAAAGAGGAUCCUGAUAUUUGUAGCACUGGUAAUUUCUGCUUAGUAGCUCUCAUCAAGGAUGAAAAGACUGUUGGGAAUAUGGAAGGAAAUAAAGACUCCAUAUGUUUCAGAACUGAUAUGCCAUGAAUGUCUUUACAAUACCUUAUGCUAUGCUGCUGAUUAGGGGCAUUAUCUGAUGAUAAGGAUAGAUCCAGGGGUAUUCUUUGACAAUGGACACAAUCAGCUUUGUCAUGGAUCUGUAAUAUAUGAAAAACAAACAAGGGGCUAGAGGCCAGGCAUCUUAACAACAAUGUAAAAAAGCCUUAUUUUAAAGAUGUAUUUGUUCCUACUACUAUUGUGACCUCUAUAUUUUUAUUUCCUGUCAGUGUUGUGAAGCCCACUAGUCAGUAGAUCCUGUGAUUUGAUAACAUUGUGGCAACUUCUGCUAAGCUAACCUUCUAAGGUCUGUGGGUUUGAUUUUAAAUUACAUCUUUUGACAACUGUACAUUUCAAAUGCCUUGUGUAUAUAGCUCAGCAUUAAGGCAAGGUCUGGUGAUGCCCAGCCAAAUUGUUCCCUGCAUACUGAACUUAAUUGCUUGUGCUUUCCCAUAGCAAUGGAAGAUAACCCAGAUCAGUUAAGAACUGGAAAUGUGCACUGAGAUUUUUAACGAUCCAGCUUAAAGAAAAUGCACCAGAAAACAUGUGCAUCUGUGGUCACUGUGCUUUAUCUUGUCCUGGCAGAGGGCUCCCACAGUUCCCCUUGGAAUAAACGCAAAUGCAGCUUCUCUAUUAAUAAAGCUCCUGCUAACAAAGGAUGGUGACUUAAGUACUGCAGUGCAGGUUUAGUUCACUGCAGUCAGAACUGACUUCUGGUUGUCCAGGUGAGUGCCUAGGGCUGAGAACUCACAUACUGCCACUAUUAGGUAUUUUAGACUCUGGUUUUAAAAAACAGACUUGUCUGUGAGUGUGUAUGUGUUUGUAUAUGUAUGUAUUUACACCCACACCCCCUUUGUAGACUCCAUAUGGCAUCCCCAUAUGGACCCUCCCACUCUUUAUGUUACAUUUCUGUUGUGCAUUGGGGAGGGGGAGGCUGAUAACUGAAUGACACCUGGGCAAGGUUUUACCUGAAUCAUUUUAAUGUUCCAAGCAUUCAGAGUGGGCCACCUGCAAUGACAGACAAACCACUCUGCAGACAAGUGAAGGCUAGGAGGUAUCCAUCAGAAUCCCUGCAGUCUGGUGUCAGUGAAGUUUAGAAGGGCAAACGUGAGAUGGCAGAUGUCAGUAGCAGAGGAAGGAGUACCACUGACCUUCAAAUGCUGAGUUUCUCUCAGAAGAGAAACAUAAGAUGAUGUAGGAUUUACUGACUGUUUCUCCUAGUGUUUUUUGGAAAGCUGAAACUGCUUAAGAGGAAAGGAGUACAGGUAGUCCUCCAGUACAGAGGAAAGGCAUCCCUGAGGUACACCUGAGGGACUUUGCUGGCAGAACCUGGCACCUGCCAAAUUCCUCCUUAUUUCUGGCACAUAGGAAAUAAGAAGGCAGAAGGCCCAGUAUGUACACUGAAGUGAACUGUCAGUAAGCAGAUUCACUAGGCACAGUUAACCAUGGCCACUUCCUAUAAGCAUACCCCAGACUUUAAAGAUACUGACUCACUGAAAAAGUGUCUAGAAGGUGCUCUGCUAAUAAGAUCUCACUAACCAUCCAUCUCAUGGUCAUUACUGCCAUAUUCAUCUCCUAAAGAAGGUAAUGAGCACAGCAAUCAAUCUAAAAAAACCUCUGGAUCUCCUUCCAUUUUAGAUGCAAUGUUUUUUAAGAGCAAAUGAUCAACUUUUGCUACUGUGUAAUUAUUUUCAAGGCAUUACUCUGUGAUGAGACGACACACUAGAAAGCAGCUGGGGGGUAACAUUUGCCUUUAAGGCCAUUCCUACAGCAGUUUUCUUGGUUCUCUGCUAAAAAUGCAUGAAACCAGACUAACUGCAGAGUCCAUCGAGGUAGAGGUAACUAAUAAAUGAUGUCAUUUUCAACUCAGGAUGGGACAGACAGACUGUGACUGUUAUCACUGUAAAAUUCCAGCUUUGUUUGGGUCAUUGUAAGGAUUGUGCUGCCCUAGGAGGUCCAGGGCAUGCCACUGCUGGUACCAUGUCCCCAGGAGCCUCCAGUGCUGUCCCACCAGAGCCACUGACUCUCCCAGGACCCUGCAGACAGAAAAGUUUGUCAAGAAAUCUAGGUUUUCUGCAUGGCAGGACAGACCACUGAGGGCACAGCACUAAGCUGGCAGGGUUGGCUAUUUUUUAUUGACUCAAAUUUUUAAGUAGAGAAAGGAGGCUGAGACUAAGCAACCUUCGAAAAUUUCAGAUGGUGCUUAAUGGGUAAAAAGAAAAGGAUUGUUUGUCGCGGCUCUCGUUUUUUCUUCUCAAUUAGCACAGCAGCGAGGUUAAUUUGGCUACAGGAGUUCAUUCAAGUAGAGCAGCUAAUUGCUGCACAUGGUCCUUCCUUUUCCUCAAGCACGGUAGACACGGUGUCCCAAAUAUAAACCAGGGCACCACACCGCUUGCAGUACUGUCGUAUUGCCACAGAGUGGUGGUGAAGACCUUACCGAAAGCUUCGCUGCUCAGCGGCACUGAGGUUACGUCCUUCGGUAUGUGCAGACCACACGUGUCAUGUCUUUGCAGUGUGGGAACACCCUCAGACACACUGUUUUCAGUCACUUGCACCAACCAGGGUGAAUUAAGGCCACUUCCUAUAACACAUUAACUCCUGUGAUUUUUGGUUUUAUCCUUCAGUGUUCAUGACCAGCAUUUAAGGAGUUGAUGAUAAGCUCAGUUGCUUUACUUCCACUAGUCCUUAGCAGCAGUUGCAGGAGUUUCAAGAAGACAUAAUUAAGUACUGAGUUAUAGCUUUUAAAAAUUUAGUUACCAAUGUUAUAUAAUUUAGUAUAGCAGUAGCUUUCACUGUUGCUUGAAUGGCUAAAUGGGGAGCCUGCUAAUUACACUUGAAAAGCUCUCUUUGUCAUGCAUUUUAUUUACUUUAAUUCAACCUUGUUCUUUUCCAUAAGCAGCUAAUAUUUGUAAUAAUAUGUUCUCAGCAUUUUUUGUUUUAAUUUCUAUAGUCUUUUUCCCUAAUUCCAUUGAAAAUUACUUGAUACAGAAACUAUUACAUGUUUUGCAGCACAAUAAUGGUGUGAGAUAUGGCUUCCAUCCUACAAACCAACCAACCUGUUAAAGGUUAAAAUUUCUGUGAUGUAUUUGUAAAAUGGAACAGGCAAAUCAAAGCCUUAUUAAUCCAUUUUAACAAUUUUCUUUCAUGUAAGAGUGGUAAAAGCCAAAACACAGAGCACUUCAGCUUAAUAUUGGAAUAAAUAGGAAGAUUCCAGUUUAAAACUGUGUUUUAAUUAUUGAACAGCUCUCAGAAUUAAAUCACUGACCUUUGAGAAUUUAGUGACCGAACAAGUACUUGUCCUCAAGACACAUAUCUGAGCGUGCAUUCCUUUACAUGAAGCUUUUCCACUCUGGUUAAAGAUGCCCAAGAACGCUGCAAGUACCAAGUGAAUGAGCCAAAAUCAUAUAACCUAUCUAAA